RNAcentral lists this non-coding RNA (30 nucleotides) under Mus musculus (house mouse). Lineage: Eukaryota; Metazoa; Chordata; Mammalia; Rodentia; Muridae. The record is from RNAcentral.
UACUAUUCGUAAGUUUGGUAUUCUCAUUGU